Molecule: non-coding RNA, 29 nt
Filed under: Cricetulus griseus (Chinese hamster)
Lineage: Eukaryota; Metazoa; Chordata; Mammalia; Rodentia; Cricetidae
Source: RNAcentral
UGAAUAUGAAAUUCCAGCAAUAAGAAAUG